Molecule: long non-coding RNA, 394 nt
Filed under: Phaseolus vulgaris (common bean)
Lineage: Eukaryota; Viridiplantae; Streptophyta; Magnoliopsida; Fabales; Fabaceae
Description: long non-coding RNA (PVUL_LNC004961)
Source: RNAcentral
AAGGUGAAGAGGCUGAAGGAGGAGCUAGCUAAGAAGAAUGAGGAGUUAGUCCAGAAGGGCGAGGAAAUGGUGAAAGAAAGGGAAGCCCUUACGGAUGAUGUUGCAAACUCUUACAUGGCGGGCUUUGAAAACACUGUCGCCCAAGCCUCAAGAAUCUACCCCGAGAUGGAUUUCUCCCAACUCAAUUAGGGCACCUGAACUCAGAGUCUUAUUGAGAAAAAGUUGUCCCAUCUAAAUCACCAUAGGAAGAAGUGGUUUCUUUUGAAAAAUUGGAAGGAGAAGUUUUUGUAGAAAUGUUAUUUUUAUCCUUCCUUGAAGAUUUGUAGAAAACAUCAUGAUGAGUAGUUUUGAAAGUUGUUUUCGUCAAAAUAUAUGAUUCCACUUUGAUGGUUAG